Molecule: long non-coding RNA, 1269 nt
Organism: Mauremys mutica (yellowpond turtle)
Lineage: Eukaryota; Metazoa; Chordata; Testudines; Geoemydidae
Exons: 4
Source: RefSeq, a predicted model, not a curated record
UCCCCUACAUUACCAGCUCCCUGACUCUGAGCUCCUGGUAGCCUGCCCAUCUAUUCACCCUGACUCCUGGGCUGCCCUCUGGCCUACCUCAGUUUCUGAUGUCUUGGUAUCCAGACCUGGCCCCUGACUCCCACUCCGACUACUAGCUCAGAUGUCACAGCUGUACAUCAUUGACACUUGCAGAUCGCCCAGCCUGAAUUUUCAAGGGCAUGGCUGACAACAUUAUAGGAGGCUGGAGGAAAAGGUAGUUCUCAGAAAGUCUGGAAGGUUCCACGAGAUUCUGCAGAGGUCCAGAACAUUCUAGGAGAUACAGACUAACACGGCUGCUACUCUGAAACCUGGAAGGGGGAGCCAUGCACAGCAAGGGCCAGGUGUCAAAGAAGAAGCACCUUGGAGUUGCAGAGACCGGUGGACAAAUCCCCAGAGGAGGCAGCUGCACCAGGAAGGAGCUAAUCCCCAGAGCAGCCAGGAGGAGGCACCACUGGCACAGAGAAAGGCAGAACACUAUCCAGUGGACAGAAAGGCAGAACGCAAUCCAGAUUGGCGGGUAGUGAUCCAUCUAUGGGGGUUCGAUUUAUCGCGUCGAGUGUAGAUGCAAUAAAAUUGAUCGCUCUGCUGUUGACUCCGGAACGCCACCGCAGCGAGAGGCAGAAGCGGAGUUGAUGGGGGAGCAGCAGCGGUCGACUCACCGCCAUCCUCACAGCCAGGUAAAUCAACUUAAGAUACGCCGACUUCUAGCUGAAGUUCCGUAUCUUAGGUUGACACCCCACCCCCACCCCCACCCCAGUGUAGACCUAGCCUAAGAGAUCUGCUUUGGGAACUAUUGUGAGGAAAUUCUCUGGCCUCUGUUCUACAAGAGUUCAGACUGGAUGAUCAAAGUGAUCCCUUCUGGUCUUGGAAUCCUUUAAUAUGAUCAUUGUUAAUUCAUUAAGCAUCCCAGCACCUCCCCGAGUGGCGUGCAAGAAAUAUUAUACCUAUUUUAGAGAUGGAUAAACUGUGGCACAGAGAGGUUUAAGGCCAAUUUUGGGAAAAAAAUGGCCACUGAGAUUCAGAAGGGCAGAGCGUCCACUACUCCCAGUGGAGACCAGGGGAGCUCAUCACCGCUGAGAAACUGGGCUCUAGAUUUCUAAAGUCGAGCACCCAAAAUUACUGGGCAGUUUUAAAAUCAUGGACCUAAGUGUUGUCCCAAGGUCACAUGAGAAAUCUGAAUCCCACCCCUCCAGCAACUAAAAGGUAACACACACAACUUUCCAGAAUGCACAUGUAUCA